Molecule: long non-coding RNA, 437 nt
Filed under: Homo sapiens (human)
Lineage: Eukaryota; Metazoa; Chordata; Mammalia; Primates; Hominidae
Description: HSALNT0310100
Source: RNAcentral
CCUGCACUAGAACACCCCAUGGAUUUAGGAGCCACUGGUAAGGUUAUGGCUUCCCCCACUGAAUGAAAUAAAUGGACUCAGGAAGGAAUAAAACCCAAGGUGUCCUCUUCACCAGCAUCAUUCAGAACCACCUCACUCCUCAGGGGCCACAGAAGUGCUGAAUAAAAUGAAAAGUGCCUGUCUUGUAAAUAAUCACCGCUCCCCAACCAGCCAUUCCCCAAAUGACAAGAACCAUCCUGUGGCCUUCUCCGCUCCCCAGCCUGGCCUGGCCUCAUUGUGCCUUGGAACUCUGUCCUCCUGCCUCACUCAAAAGGUACAUGAUUUGUAUCUUACUCCCACAACAGCGUGAUCCGAUGUCACCACAGGCGGGGACUUUUAAUGGGGUAUUUGCACAGUGAUUUACAACUUGAGGGCAACUGAUCCUCCUGAGAAAGAAA